GUUAUCAUCAGUUGCAUCCGAUUUGACAGCUUACUACAUGUUUCAUAACAUUUUUGUGGAUUUUUUUUCCUUUAACGAAAACUCGAGCAAUCAAUUCUCAUCUCAAUAGCCAAAUUAACAAAUUGGUGUUUCUUCAAUCGCGCAAAACAAAUAGAUUUUAGUAAAUGAACAGCUGUACAUAUGUUAUCGUUGGUAACCGUAGAAGUUAUCCCCGCUAUCCACUUAGCUUCGGCAUUUGAAUUUUUUUUUUUUAAUUUUUCAUCGCUGUAGCUAACUACGAUUACAAUUACGACGUGGCAAUGGCAGCAACACAGGUUCACGAGUUCAAUGUUGAAAUGACCUGCGGAGGCUGCUCUGGAGCGGUUGAACGUGUCCUGGGUAAUAAAGCUGGUAUCGAGAAUGUCAAGAUUGACUUGCCUGGUAAGAAAGUAUUUGUGACUACUCCACUAUCGUCAGACGAGGUGUUAGAAUACAUAAAAAAGACUGGGAAGUCUUGUACCUAUGUCGGUACGCAAAAAUGAAUGCAAUCUUCUAUUCAAUUCUCUGUACAAAGGCGGCUGGCUGGUUAAUAACGUUGAAUGUUUUUACACUUCGUCAAGAAGUAUGAGGAUUUCCUGAGCAAAGACUUUCCAUGUUUACCGCUUUAUUAUCUUACAUUUUACGUGUAUUAAAUUGUAAUGGUUAUCAAAUAAAUAUUAUCACAUUUACAAAAACACAUAUAGACUAGCAGUUUCAUUGUAAAUUGUCAUGUGAAGUAAUAAUCCAGGUCAUAUAAACCAACACACGACCAGUACAAUAGGAAUACUCAUUACAAUGAAAUGUAGAAUCCAUCAAGUUCGGAGUGACAUGGGGGGACUCAAUACAGGAAUUUUAACAUUCAUACUUACUUGGUCCAGCUUCUAGUAGACGUCCAUUUCUUCUCGAGCGUAGGAAUACCCGUACAUUAUAUAAAAAAUAUAUUUGCUAGUGAUCGAAAAAAGAGAUUCGAUCCUGCUGGGAUGAUUUCUUAACUUAUUUGGCACCUUACAAUUUAUCUCUGCUCAUCACGAUCAUACUGUACCUUGGAACGAGAUCAAAUCAAAUUCUCCAGCUCUCUUUCCACCAUUCCCAAACGCUCCUCCAUGAGAACGAUGGUGUUACGUAAAGAUUCUACUUGUCCGCUCAGCGCUUCUACUACUGCGCUGCUUCGGCUAGGAGACUCACUACCAGGACGAGUCCCAUGCUGGCACAGUGGAAGAUCAGCUAUGUGACCAACCUCCGCUGGUCGUUUUAAUCUCAUAUUUAUCACCUCGACGUCCUCGCGGUCUCUUGAAAUACUAGCAAGUGGUCCUCUGCAAGCACCUCCUUUAUCCACAGUUUCGUCAUCCUCAAAGUCUGCCACGGAAUCGGACUCGUACUGGACAAAAUGCAACGUUG
This 1416-nucleotide unclassified non-coding RNA is filed under the name Athalia rosae (coleseed sawfly). RNAcentral's name for it is "misc RNA ENSAEAG00005009380.1". Lineage: Eukaryota; Metazoa; Arthropoda; Insecta; Hymenoptera; Athaliidae. The record is from RNAcentral.